GCUGCCGUGUGUUGGGCGGCUUCCCGAAAGGAGAACCAGGGAGGCUGUGACGAAGACAAGGGGGGUGUUCGGAUGUCCGCUGGCCUGGAAACCAGGUCCCGGCUCGUUUCCUCGGCUGAACAGAAAGACUUCCUGUAGGCUGAGGAAGGCGACCUCAUGUCGCCCGGGGCCUGAAAUCGCCCCAUUUCCCUGCAGCCUCCAAGCGGGGCGAACUGGAUUUCACCCUUCCCAGCCGAAGGGCCCUUCCUCCUCAGCUGCUUGGCUGUCCUGUCCUGCUGCGUGGCUGUGCGGGGACACAGAGCCCACCCAUGGGGGCAGGUUCCUGGCCACCCCUUCCCAUCUGCCCGUCAGCCUCGCCCCCGACACCCGGCGCUUCCAGGAGCCCCCUGCCCUCCCGGACCUGCUCUCAGUCAGGGUGGUAGGCGCCGGACAAGCUGCCUUGCCUGCUGCCGAUCAUCUGAGCUUCACAGCCAGCCUUCAAAUCCCCAUCCUACAGAGGAGGACACCGAGCCAUAGAGAGAUUUGAGCAGUGCACCUGCUGUCGCAGCUAGCCUCCUUCCUGGGGAGGGCAUAUUCGCAUCCUCCUGGAAGGGGUCAGAACGGGGGUUUCCUUACAAAACGUCUCAGUUAAGUAUUGAUUCAGUUAGAUCACGUCACAACCUCUGGAUAAGAACUGGGUGAAAAUACGGGGCUUGAAGACGCUGACAGCGACCUCGUGGCGUCUCAGUGAUUCUCGGAGACCCGGCUGGCGGAGCUCACACAACGCUGGCCCUCGGUUCUUCUGACUGCGAACACACUGCGCGUGUCACUGCGUAACAGACGUCAGCAGACCCCCGUGACAUAAAAAUGAAAUGAUGGACCUUUUA
Panthera uncia (snow leopard) is the source of this 866-nucleotide long non-coding RNA. RefSeq lists it as uncharacterized. NCBI's taxonomy places the organism in Eukaryota, Metazoa, Chordata, Mammalia, Carnivora, Felidae. The record is from RefSeq and is a predicted model, not a curated record. The transcript has 2 exons.